RNAcentral lists this ribosomal RNA (467 nucleotides) under uncultured bacterium. RNAcentral's name for it is "partial 16S ribosomal RNA". It matches the Rfam family "Bacterial small subunit ribosomal RNA", at positions 28 to 506 of the family's 1533-position model. The record is from RNAcentral.
GACGAACGCUGGCGGCGUGCUUAACACAUGCAAGUCGAACGGAAAGGCCCUGCUUUUGUGGGGUGCUCGAGUGGCGAACGGGUGAGUAACACGUGAGUAACCUGCCCUUGACUUUGGGAUAACUUCAGGAAACUGGGGCUAAUACCGGAUAGGAGCUCCUGCUGCAUGGUGGGGGUUGGAAAGUUUCGGCGGUUGGGGAUGGACUCGCGGCUUAUCAGCUUGUUGGUGGGGUAGUGGCUUACCAAGGCCUUGACGGGUAGCCGGCCUGAGAGGGUGACCGGCCACAUUGGGACUGGGAUGCGGCCCAGACUCCUACGGGAGGCAGGAGUGGGGAAGAGAGCACAAUGGGCGGAAGCCUGAUGCAGCAACGCCGCGUGCGGGAUGACGGCCUUCGGGUUGUAAACCGAUUUCGCCUGUGACGAAGCGUGAGUGACGGGAAUGGGAAAAGAAGCACCGGCUAACUACAU